This 356-nucleotide long non-coding RNA is filed under the name Helianthus annuus (common sunflower). RNAcentral's name for it is "hypothetical non coding rna". Lineage: Eukaryota; Viridiplantae; Streptophyta; Magnoliopsida; Asterales; Asteraceae. The record is from RNAcentral.
GGGAAUGGAAACCGUAACGAUGGCGGAAAUGGGGAUGGCAACAAUAACCGAAUUGGAAAUGAAGCCGGGCGAAACCAAGGAUGCUUCAAGUGUGGAAGCAACGAUCAUUUCAUGAGGGACUGCCCAAAGAAAGACAAUGCUCAGGCUCGGGCAUUUGUGAUUGGAGCAAAGAACGCACGCGAGGACCCUAACGUGGUCACCGGUAACUAAAGGUGGAUGUGCGCGUGGUCCUACGCAUGCUCGUGGAUGUCGCUUUGUUUAUCGUUAAAUAAAGUUGUAACUUUUAAGACAAUAUGCUAUCAUGUGUUGUAAACACUUGACUUAUGUUUUCGGUAAUGUAAUGUUUAAAGUUAUUU